RNAcentral lists this long non-coding RNA (425 nucleotides) under Pan troglodytes (chimpanzee). Its description in RNAcentral is "long non-coding RNA NONPTRT009212". The record is from RNAcentral. Lineage: Eukaryota; Metazoa; Chordata; Mammalia; Primates; Hominidae.
CUGAUAUCACUGGGCUGGCACAGAAGACCCCAUUAGGAAUCAGUUUCCUCAGGGAGGCCACAGAACACAAAAAGUGUCCUCUCUCCCUUUCUUUCUGCCUCUAGGCCAGGCUUUGGCAGUUCCGGUAGUGAUCAGUGUCGGGGCCAAUCUACUGUCUGCCAGGGGCACCAUCGUCAGGGCCAGAGAUCAUGAUUCGAUACAGGAGUUUGGGCCUGGUGGCUGCCUAUGUCCUUUCACUGUGGCUGAUCACCUCCUUCCUACACCAGCACUCCAGCCAGAAGGACCUCCGUAAUAUGGCCAAGAUACACCCAGGAAUCUGCCACUGUCCCAGCGACUUUUCCAGAAAAUGCAACUGCUCAUCUGAGGUCCACACAUGCUCUGCCUGCCUCCACGUGCCUGGCGAGUCUGACUGGUUUGACAGACGC